AGGUCGGCCCAUGAUCAGGUCAACUCCUCACCCUCUUCUUAUCUUUGUUAUCCACUUCCUUUAAAGCCGACCAUGAGCCCUCUUCCUCCAUGGUGGUUCUCUCUACCUCCACAUAUUCCUUGUCGGUGGCUCAUUCCCCCUCCUCUUUUUUCUCCUCAUCCCCUUCUCCUUCUCCUUCAAUCCCACCCAUGAGAUCUUCAACGUUGUUCUCCCCCUCUAUGCCAACCUCC
This 230-nucleotide long non-coding RNA is filed under the name Elaeis guineensis (African oil palm). RNAcentral describes it as "long non-coding RNA (EGUI_LNC025611)". The record is from RNAcentral. Lineage: Eukaryota; Viridiplantae; Streptophyta; Magnoliopsida; Arecales; Arecaceae.